RNAcentral lists this non-coding RNA (117 nucleotides) under Caloramator australicus. Its description in RNAcentral is "MoCo sequence". It matches the Rfam family "Molybdenum/Tungsten riboswitch aptamer (Moco RNA motif)". RNAcentral also lists the same sequence under 1 other name. Lineage: Bacteria; Bacillati; Bacillota; Clostridia; Eubacteriales; Clostridiaceae. The record is from RNAcentral.
UAUAAAAGAAUUCUCCGAGUCUUAAGGCCUAAGGCAAGGCUAUGGCCUUAAGACCGAUAGGGUAGAGUUGGAAACGGCUCUGCCUCCUCUUUGGAAAGGAGAAUAUUAGGAUAGUAU